GCCUGGCUAGCUCAGCCUCGGUAGAGCAUGAGACUCUUAAUCUCAGGGUUGUGGGUUUGAACCCCACGUUGGGCA
This is a non-coding RNA of Peromyscus eremicus (cactus mouse), 75 nucleotides long. The record is from the annotation of a RefSeq genome assembly. Lineage: Eukaryota; Metazoa; Chordata; Mammalia; Rodentia; Cricetidae.